Molecule: ribosomal RNA, 465 nt
Filed under: Vreelandella stevensii
Lineage: Bacteria; Pseudomonadati; Pseudomonadota; Gammaproteobacteria; Oceanospirillales; Halomonadaceae
Description: partial 16S ribosomal RNA
Rfam family: Bacterial small subunit ribosomal RNA
Source: RNAcentral
CCUACGGGUGGCAGCAGUGGGGAAUAUUGGACAAUGGGCGAAAGCCUGAUCCAGCCAUGCCGCGUGUGUGAAGAAGGCCUUCGGGUUGUAAAGCACUUUCAGUGGGGAAGAAAGCCUUGGGGCUAAUACCCUCGAGGAAGGACAUCACCCACAGAAGAAGCACCGGCUAACUCCGUGCCAGCAGCCGCGGUAAUGCGGAGGGUGCGAGCGUUAAUCGGAAUUACUGGGCGUAAAGCGCGCGUAGGCGGUCUGAUAAGCCGGUUGUGAAAGCCCCGGGCUCAACCUGGGAACGGCAUCCGGAACUGUCAGGCUAGAGUGCAGGAGAGGAAGGUAGAAUUCCCGGUGUAGCGGUGAAAUGCGUAGAGAUCGGGAGGAAUACCAGUGGCGAAGGCGGCCUUCUGGACUGACACUGACGCUGAGGUGCGAAAGCGUGGGUAGCAAACAGGAUUAGAUCCCCUAGUAGUC